UGCCUUUAGCCCCCAAGUAUUAAAGGUAACGCCUGCCCAGUGAUAUUUAAACGGCCGCGGGAUCCUCCACCGUGCAAAGGUAGCAUAAUCACUUGUCCCCUAAAUAGUGACUAGUAUGAAUGGCCAAAUGAAGUUUUUACUGUCUCUUGUAGCCAAUCAAUGAAACUAUACUACCAGUACAAAAACUGGUAUAAUAACAUAAGACGAAAAGACCCUGUGGAACUUCAAGCACCCUUCACCAAAUGAUACAACUGCUUUUAGUUGGGGCAACUUUGGAAAUAAACAAAACUUCCAAUAACUAACACCUAGAUAUACACAUCUACCCACACAAUUGACCCAGCACCGCUGAUCAAAGAACCAAGCUACCCCAGGGAUAACAGCGCCAUCCCCUCCUAGAGCCCAAAUCGACGAGCGGGGUUUACGACCUCGAUGUUGGAUCAGGGCACCCAAACAGUGCAACCGCGGUUAAUGGUUUGUUUGUUCAACAAUUAAAGCCCU
Molecule: ribosomal RNA, 498 nt
Filed under: Oreosaurus mcdiarmidi
Lineage: Eukaryota; Metazoa; Chordata; Lepidosauria; Squamata; Gymnophthalmidae
Description: partial 16S ribosomal RNA
Rfam family: Bacterial large subunit ribosomal RNA
Source: RNAcentral